Non-coding RNA from Methanococcus aeolicus Nankai-3, 73 nucleotides. NCBI's taxonomy places the organism in Archaea, Methanobacteriati, Methanobacteriota, Methanococci, Methanococcales, Methanococcaceae. The record is from Rfam.
GCGCCAGUGGUGUAGUCUGGUAUCACUUUGGCCUUCCAAGCCAAUAAGCUGGGUUCGAAUCCCAGCUGGCGCA